Long non-coding RNA from Pectinophora gossypiella (pink bollworm), 555 nucleotides. RefSeq lists it as uncharacterized. The transcript is spliced from 2 exons. NCBI's taxonomy places the organism in Eukaryota, Metazoa, Arthropoda, Insecta, Lepidoptera, Gelechiidae. The record is from RefSeq and is a predicted model, not a curated record.
UCCCCACUACUUUGCCACAAUUAGACAUGGACUCUAAACAUGACUAAAUGUCACGUAAAAAAUAUGCGGGUACUUUAAAAAUACUAGAGGAACUUUAAGCGCCAUAUUAUAUUGGUACCCUCAAAAUAAGAUUGUUCCUUCUGCAUAAUCAAAUUCGAAGUAACGAAAGAUUUCACAUAAUCAUCAUGUUUGAGUUGUGGCAUUGUCUCAUCAUUUUAUCUGCAGCCAUUGUUACCUUUACAUUACUGUUAGUUGGGUUCAUCGUAAUACCGUAUUGCCGCCGCUCUAGCAGCAGGUCCCAUGUGACAUGGGUAUGGGACCGCUCCAGUACUUCAUUCCUCAGUAAUGAUGUGUGCACGGCCUCCAUCCCACCCAUGCCCCCGUACUUGGUGACCGACUUCGCCUACAACAGCUACUCUACCUCUAUUUGAAAGUCUUUCUACUUAAAUUUUUCAUAUGUAUUGUUUCAUAUGUUUAUUUUACUGGUUAAAAUAUGUAUGAAUAUAAGAAAUUUAUUAUUUUCAUUAAUUUUAUGAAUAAAACAAUACAAGUUUA